Molecule: ribosomal RNA, 449 nt
Filed under: uncultured bacterium
Lineage: Bacteria
Description: partial 16S ribosomal RNA
Rfam family: Bacterial small subunit ribosomal RNA
Source: RNAcentral
GUCGAGAAUCUUUCACAAUGGGGGCAACCCUGAUGGAGCGACGCCGCGUGGAGGAUAAGGUCUUCGGAUUGUAAACUCCUGUCAUGCGUGAACAAGGUUGCUUGGUUAAUACCUGGGCAAAUUGAUGGUAACGCAAGAGGAAGAGACGGCUAACUCUGUGCCAUCAGCCGCGGUAAUACAGAGGUCUCAAGCGUUGUUCGGAAUCACUGGGCGUAAAGGGUGCGUAGGAGGCGUGGUAAGUCAGAUGUGAAAGCCCGGGGCUCAACCUCGGAACUGCAUCCGAUACUGCCAUGCUAGAGUACUGGAGAGGUGACUAGAAUUCUCGGUGUAGCAGUGAAAUGCGUAGAUAUCGAGAGGAAUACCAAAGGCGUAGGCAGGUCACUGGACAGUUACUGACACUGAGGCACGAAGGCCAGGGGAGCGAACGGGAUUAGAAACCCUGGUAGUCC